GAUAAAAUGGCUGAAAAUAGGCGUUAGAUUGUAAAUCUAAUUAUGAAAUAAUUUUCUUUUAUCA
This 64-nucleotide transfer RNA is filed under the name Cacoplistes rogenhoferi. RNAcentral describes it as "tRNA-Tyr". It matches the Rfam family "tRNA". Rfam says of the family: Transfer RNA (tRNA) molecules are approximately 80 nucleotides in length. Their secondary structure includes four short double-helical elements and three loops (D, anti-codon, and T loops). The record is from RNAcentral. Lineage: Eukaryota; Metazoa; Arthropoda; Insecta; Orthoptera; Phalangopsidae.